This is a long non-coding RNA of Drosophila montana, 734 nucleotides long. RefSeq lists it as uncharacterized. NCBI's taxonomy places the organism in Eukaryota, Metazoa, Arthropoda, Insecta, Diptera, Drosophilidae. The record is from RefSeq and is a predicted model, not a curated record. The transcript has 3 exons.
CAACGCCCGUCAAGUGCGGCACUUUGAUAAUGGACUCCAGGCGCGUGAAUAAUAACAGGCAGCGGUCAGUUAGGAAAUAGCGUUUCAUUAACAUGGAAAACGAAAAUUGAAAAAAAAAAAGUAAAUGUUAAAUUGGAAAUUGGAAAAUGUUGCAAAAAUUGUUAGCCGAAAAAGCUGUAGCCGAAGCUGAAAGAAAACGGCGCCUGACAUCUGACGUGCGGUGGCAGGCACUUUGGUAACUUAACCAGCUUUUGGCUACUUAACAUUGCGUAUACGUAUUGUGGGCUGAGUCAGAGCCUGGUCUUGUAGCUGGCGCUGGAGCUGAGCUUUACAUUACCGGUUGCUCGAUUUCUGGGAAAGUGCAGCGAAUCAGCGAAUCGGCGAAUCGCAGGACGGACUUAUUUUUCGGCCAAGGCGACAACAGCAUAAUUUACCGUUAGCUCUUCAUCAUUCAGUGGAAAAGCUGGAAAAGCUCCAAAUUGAACCAACUCAACCAACAGCAGACACGCAGCACGCAAAGUGCCGAAUCCGAGUGCCGAUUUCCUACUCGAGUCGGGAAAGUGCAAGAAACCCCAAUGCAAGCCGAUGCCAGAUGUUAUUACCGAUUCGUAGCCGGUUAACCUUCUGACUUUACUUAUGAUUUUCACUUUUCUUAUGGCUGCAAUUUACCAUUGUUGCCGCCACACUCGAGCCCAUGUGGCAAUGUGCAACAACAACAACAACAGCGACAGCAA